RNAcentral lists this ribosomal RNA (494 nucleotides) under uncultured bacterium. Its description in RNAcentral is "partial 16S ribosomal RNA". It matches the Rfam family "Bacterial small subunit ribosomal RNA", at positions 28 to 523 of the family's 1533-position model. The record is from RNAcentral.
GAUGAACGCUGGCGGCGUGCCUAACACAUGCAAGUCGAACGGAGUUAUUAUUAUGAAGUUUUCGGAUGGAUUAAUAAUAACUUAGUGGCGGACGGGUGAGUAACGCGUGGGUAACCUGCCUCAUACAGGGGGAUAACAGUUGGAAACGGCUGCUAAAACCGCAUAACAUUGCGAGGUCGCAUGAACAUGCAAUUAAAUAUUUAUAGGUAUGAGAUGGGCCCGCGUCUGAUUAGCUAGUUGGUGGGGUAAUGGCCUACCAAGGCGACGAUCAGUAGCCGGCUUGAGAGAGUGACCGGCCACAUUGGGACUGAGACACGACCCAAACUCCUACGGGAGGCAGCAGUGGGGAAUAUUGCACAAUGGGGGAAACCCUGAUGCAGCGACGCCGCGUGAGUGAAGAAGUAUUUCGGUAUGUAAAGCUCUAUCAGCAGGGAAGAAAAUGACGGUACCUGACUAAGAAGCCCCGGCUAACUACGUGCCAGCCGCCGCAGUAA